This 1098-nucleotide ribosomal RNA is filed under the name uncultured bacterium. RNAcentral's name for it is "partial 16S ribosomal RNA". It matches the Rfam family "Bacterial small subunit ribosomal RNA", at positions 329 to 1442 of the family's 1533-position model. The record is from RNAcentral.
CCCAUUACUCCUACGGAGGCAGCAAUUUAGAUCUGCGCAAUUGGGGCCAUCCUGACGCAGCGACACCAGUGUGGAGGAGGAAGGUCUCCGGAUUGUAAACUCCUUUUAUGAGGGAAGAAUAGAUGACGGUACCUCAUGAAUCUAACUACGUGCCAGAAGCAUCGGUGAUGCGUAGGGUGCGAACGUUAUCCCGGAUUAUUGGGCGUAUAGAGAAGCGUAGGUGUUUUGUAAGUCUUUAGUUAAAUACCACGGCUCAACCGUGGAGAAGCUUUGGAAACUACAAAAAUUGAGACAGGAAUGGGCGAAUGGAAUUCCCAGUGGAGCGGUGAAAUGCGUUGAUAUUGGGAGGAACAUCAGUGGCGAAGGCGAUUCGCUGGUCCUUGUCUGACACUAAGGCUCGAAAGCGUGGGGAGCGAAACGGAUUAGAUACCCGUGUAGUCCACGCCGUAAACAAUGGGCGCUAGGUGUUCGGUACAACUACUUAAUCCUUCGGGAUUGAAUGGAAGUAUUGAGUACUGCAGCUAACGCGUUAAGCGUYCCGCCUGGGAAGUACGGCCGCAAGGCUAAAACUCAAACGAAUUGGCGGGGACCCGCACAAGCGGAGGAGCGCGUGGUUUAAUUYGACGGCAAUYGAAGAACCUUACCAGGGUUUGAAAUGUAUYUGCAUGCCCCMUGAAAGUGGGGAGGCUUUYGAAGGUGAUACACAGGUGCUGCAUGGCCGUYGUCAGCUYGUGUCGUGAGAUGUAGGGUUAAGUCCCGAAACGAGCGCAACCCCUAUCCCAUGUUACAAGUGUYUUGGGAAACCGCCUCGGUAAAACGAGGAGGAAGGUGGGGAUGACGUYUGGUCCGCAUAGCCCUUAUGUCCUGGGCUACMCMCMCGCUACAAUGGCCAAUACAGUAGGAAGCCAAAUYGUAAGAUGGAGCUGAUCCUCAAAGUUGGUYUCAGUUCGGAWUGAGGUYUGAAACUYGACCUCAUGAAGUUGGAUUCGCUAGUAAUYGUGAAUCARCCAUGUCACGGUGAAUACGUUYUCGGGUYUUGCMCMCMCCGCCCGKCMAGCCMUGGGAGUAGGUGAUACCCGAAGGUGUUYUGUCUYUUGU